UACGUAGGCAGCGAGCGUUGUUCGGAAUUACUGGGCGUAAAGAGUGUGUAGGCGGUGCUCUAAGUUCGGUGUGAAAUCUCCUGGCUCAACUGGGAGGGUGCGCCGGAAACUGGAGUGCUUGAGCGUGGGAGAGGAAAGCGGAAUUCCUGGUGUAGCGGUGAAAUGCGUAGAUAUCAGGAGGAACACCUGUGGUGUAGACGGCUUUCUGGACCAUAGCUGACGCUGAGACACGAAAGCGUGGGGAGCAAACAGG
RNAcentral lists this ribosomal RNA (253 nucleotides) under uncultured bacterium. RNAcentral's name for it is "partial 16S ribosomal RNA". It matches the Rfam family "Bacterial small subunit ribosomal RNA", at positions 524 to 776 of the family's 1533-position model. The record is from RNAcentral.